GGCCAGGUAGCUCAGGUGGUAGAGCGCCAGACUGAAAAUCUGGGCGUCGGCGGUUCAACUCCGUCCCUGGCCACCA
Molecule: transfer RNA, 76 nt
Filed under: Blastocatellia bacterium
Lineage: Bacteria; Pseudomonadati; Acidobacteriota; Blastocatellia
Description: tRNA-Phe
Rfam family: tRNA
About the family: Transfer RNA (tRNA) molecules are approximately 80 nucleotides in length. Their secondary structure includes four short double-helical elements and three loops (D, anti-codon, and T loops).
Source: RNAcentral